AGAGUACGUGGGAGAGGGGCGGAGAGAGAGAGAGGGAGAGAGAGAAUUAAAACAGUCUCUGCUUGAAUGUUGUCAGCAUGGAGCCCAACACAGGGCUCUAUCCCACAAACUAUGAGUUCAUGACCUGAGCUGAAAUUAGGAGUCAGACGCUCAACCGGCUAAGCCACCCAGGUGCCCCAGGAGUGGUCCUUUAAUUGUAUCUCUUGUAAAGACAGAAAAUACCAUUUUCCCCUGCUACAUAAACCUCAUGAAUUUUGCCUAGCUUGCAUCUCCUUUAGGGUAGGUGCAAUAGCACAAGAAAAAACCUACAAAAAGGAAAACAGGUCACAGCUGGAGUCUUUUGGUGUCUGGUACACAAAGAAAGCCCACACAGAUCUUCCCUAAUACCAAUGAAGUUUAAGCUGCAGGGCCCUUACUCUCUGAAGGCCCUGGUGGGGACCCUAGCAAUUUUGAAUUUAUGAUUUUGUAUUCUUUUUCUUAAAGAGAGACUGCAAAUUGUGUGAGCUUAAGGCCCCACAGAAGCUGGAUCUGCCUCUGAACAUGGACGUUAGCAAAGUACAUAUAAAGCUCAACUCCUAUUUGGUACUGGGCCAAGCUCUAGAAGAUACUCUAGGCCAUCCUCAAUCUGAGGUUGGAAGAGGCUGGGCUGACUUGGGUUUGGAAAUCAAAUGCUUGGACUGGGACAAACCUUUUUUCUGUCUUGUUUUCCCCUCCUGGCAUAUCAAAUGCCACCUCAGCCAUGGAGGAGCAAGAUGGCAAACAUCUAACAAUGUGAGAGCUUCAAGGAACAGUUGCAAUGUGACUCCAUAAGGCAAAGUUUUGCACUUAAAAAAAAAAAAGAUUAUAACUUGGUGAGUCAAUUUGAAAUACAUCAUAACCAAGCUGUUUCCAAAGAUUAAUUCAGUGUUUUAUGUAAUAUCACAUAUGUUUUUGAAAUCAUAGUAAAGACACCUGGAAUCAUAAUAUUCUUUCAGUGGCAAAUGUCAUAUUACGUUUUUAGGGCAUUACGUCAAUUUAGUAUUUCACGUAUUAUUAAUAAUGCUUCAUUACAUAAAAUUAUUACUAAACUGGCAAUUAAGUGGAUGUGAAGGAUCCAUAUGCUAAACCGCUCAUAACAUUUCAAUUAUGAAUUUCACAUCAGAUGUCUUCUAGUGUACAUUAACAACAUUGACGAACAAUCUCUUUGCCAGAACCACCCAAAUGAACUCUGCUUUGUAGCAUGUAAUAUUGGCAUAAAGUCAUUUUGUACAUUUUCCUGGAUUUAAGGAAAUUAGAAAUGGAAGCAGCAGAUGAAGCAGCUAGUUCUCUCUCCUGAUAGUAGUAAAGCGUUUGUUAAUGUUGUAAUUAGCUCUCUCUUGAAUGUGUAAAGCCUUGGGGGUGCCAUUUAUGCCUCUUGAUUGACUAAAGUGUUGUUUUCUUGUUCCUUAAUUUACAUUUUCCCCAUAAAGAAACAAGCAAACAAAAACAGUGAUUCCAUUGUUUCUAGCUAACUGUUCUUUUUUUUUUUUUUUUUUUGGCUAUUUAUAAAUCUAGGUGGUGUCACAGGGUGUUUCUGCUUGGGGCCUCACCUUGAAUACAAAACCCAUGGAUGUUUUAAAGAAGGGGCUGGUAUUUAUCGCUCCAAAUUGAGACUGUAUUGACCAAGGAAAGUAUAGGUGAUUUUUAAAUAUAGCAACGCAGAAGGUCAUGUGAACUCCAAAGACGGCUUUUCAUGGAUUCAGUCCCUCCCUUUGUUCUCCUAUAAUAGUGGAUAGUGGAGUCAUCAAUCACAACCUGAUUUUAGGACCUCUUCCAAGAAUUCAGCAGUGAAUGAUUCUAGCUAUUAACAUAUUGGAAAGGGAUUUGCCCUCUGAUUUCCUUCAUAUACCCUACUGAUGUGCCUUUCAUGAGGCAUAUAUACCUCAGGUCUCUUCCGUCUUCAAACUGUACUGCAUAGUAACGUAAUGGAUAAGGUCAGAUGGCUCUUAGCCCACUCUUCACUUGGGUGUAUGGCAUCUUAUUGGUGGUUCCAUGAUUCAAGGUUGAGACCCCUGGUGCCGCUCAUUUGAAAAUGAUCAAGUUCUAAGCUAAAUAAAUGUUUUUCUAGGAUAUCA
RNAcentral lists this long non-coding RNA (2093 nucleotides) under Felis catus (domestic cat). Its description in RNAcentral is "lncRNA (ENSFCAG00000047293.1)". The record is from RNAcentral. Lineage: Eukaryota; Metazoa; Chordata; Mammalia; Carnivora; Felidae.